Molecule: ribosomal RNA, 432 nt
Filed under: Clostridioides difficile
Lineage: Bacteria; Bacillati; Bacillota; Clostridia; Peptostreptococcales; Peptostreptococcaceae
Description: bacterial SSU rRNA
Rfam family: Bacterial small subunit ribosomal RNA
Source: RNAcentral
UUGCGAAAGCGUCGCACUGGACUGUAACAGACCGUGAGGCACCAAGAUGUGGAGGGCAAACAGGAGUUGGAAACAGGGUAAUCCACGCUGUAAACGAUGGGGACUAGGAGGCGGGUGUUACCCCCUUCGGUGCCGCAGCUAACGCAUUAAGUACUCCGCCUGGGAAGUACGCUCGCAAGAGUGAAACUCAAAGGAAUUGGCGGGGACCCGCACAAGUAGCGGAGCAUGUGGUUUAAUUCGAAGCAACGCGAAGAACCUUACCUAAGCUUGACAUCCCAAUGACAUCUCCUUAAUCGGAGAGCUCCCUCCGGGGUCAUUGGCGACAGGUUGAGCAUGUUUGUCGUCAGGUCGUCUCUUGAGAUGUUGUGUUAAUGCCCGCACACAGUCCCACCUUUUCCUUUGGUGUCCAUCCUUAAGUUGGCACCUCAAGCA